GAUGAACGCUAGCGGCAGGCUUAAUACAUGCAAGUCGAACGGUAACAGGUCUUCGGACGCUGACGAGUGGCGCACGGGUGAGGAACACGUACACAAUCUACCUUAUACUGGAGAAUAGCCCCGGGAAACUGGGAUUAAUACUCCAUAGUCUUUAAUGAUCACAUGAGAAAUAAAGUAAAGCUUCGGCGGUAUAAGAUGAGUGUACGUCCCAUUAGAUUGUUGGUGAGGUAACGGCUCACCAAGUCGACGAUGGGUAGCUGGCGUGAGAGCGCGACCAGCCACACUGGCACUGAGACACGGGCCAGACUCCUACGGGAGGCAGCAGUAGGGAAUAUUGGUCAAUGGACGAAAGUCUGAACCAGCCAUGCCGCGUGGAGGAUGACUGCCCUCUGGGUUGUAAACUCCUUUUUAUAUGGGAAGAAACCUCUGGAUUCACUCCAGAGCUGACGGUAUCAUAUGAAUAAGCACCGGCUAACUCCGUG
Molecule: ribosomal RNA, 482 nt
Filed under: uncultured bacterium
Lineage: Bacteria
Description: bacterial SSU rRNA
Rfam family: Bacterial small subunit ribosomal RNA
Source: RNAcentral